This 746-nucleotide ribosomal RNA is filed under the name Leuconostoc mesenteroides. Its description in RNAcentral is "bacterial SSU rRNA". It matches the Rfam family "Bacterial small subunit ribosomal RNA", at positions 21 to 750 of the family's 1533-position model. Lineage: Bacteria; Bacillati; Bacillota; Bacilli; Lactobacillales; Lactobacillaceae. The record is from RNAcentral.
GGCUCAGGAUGAACGCUGGCGGCGUGCCUAAUACAUGCAAGUCGAACGCACAGCGAAAGGUGCUUGCACCUUUCAAGUGAGUGGCGAACGGGUGAGUAACACGUGGACAACCUGCCUCAAGGCUGGGGAUAACAUUUGGAAACAGAUGCUAAUACCGAAUAAAACUUAGUGUCGCAUGACACAAAGUUAAAAGGCGCUUCGGCGUCACCUAGAGAUGGAUCCGCGGUGCAUUAGUUAGUUGGUGGGGUAAAGGCCUACCAAGACAAUGAUGCAUAGCCGAGUUGAGAGACUGAUCGGCCACAUUGGGACUGAGACACGGCCCAAACUCCUACGGGAGGCUGCAGUAGGGAAUCUUCCACAAUGGGCGAAAGCCUGAUGGAGCAACGCCGCGUGUGUGAUGAAGGCUUUCGGGUCGUAAAGCACUGUUGUAUGGGAAGAACAGCUAGAAUAGGAAAUGAUUUUAGUUUGACGGUACCAUACCAGAAAGGGACGGCUAAAUACGUGCCAGCAGCCGCGGUAAUACGUAUGUCCCGAGCGUUAUCCGGAUUUAUUGGGCGUAAAGCGAGCGCAGACGGUUUAUUAAGUCUGAUGUGAAAGCCCGGAGCUCAACUCCGGAAUGGCAUUGGAAACUGGUUAACUUGAGUGCAGUAGAGGUAAGUGGAACUCCAUGUGUAGCGGUGGAAUGCGUAGAUAUAUGGAAGAACACCAGUGGCGAAGGCGGCUUACUGGACUGCAACUGACGUGNG